Molecule: unclassified non-coding RNA, 240 nt
Filed under: soil metagenome
Description: partial contains 5.8S ribosomal RNA, internal transcribed spacer 2, and large subunit ribosomal RNA
Source: RNAcentral
AACCUUAUGGACCUGCGGGCGUAUACCUGCGGAAGGAUCAUUAAUGAAUAAAUAUGGAAUUAGAUUGUUGCUGGCUUUUAGGAGCAAGUGCACGUCUAUUCCGUCUUUAUCUAACCCACCUGUGCACUAUGUGUAGAUCUGAUAGGUAUUCGAGUACGACUCGGUCAAAAGAAUUGCUGUACAUACACCAGCUUUUCUUUAUUUCACUUCAGAUCUAUGUUUUUUUACAUACUCCAAAUG